Molecule: ribosomal RNA, 303 nt
Filed under: uncultured bacterium
Lineage: Bacteria
Description: partial 16S ribosomal RNA
Rfam family: Bacterial small subunit ribosomal RNA
Source: RNAcentral
AGCAGUAGCCGCGGGAAUACGUAGGGUGCGAGCGUUAAUCGGAAUUACUGGGCGUAAAGCGUGCGCAGGCGGUUCGUUAAGAUAGAUGUGAUAUCCCCGGGCUUAACCUGGGAACUGCAUUUGUGACUGGCGAGCUAGAGUAUGGCAGAGGGGGGUAGAAUUCCACGUGUAGCAGUGAAAUGCGUAGAGAUGUGGAGGAACACCUGUGGCGAAAGCGGCUCACUGGACCAUAACUGACGCUGAUGCACGAAAGCUAGGGGAGCAAACAGGAUUAGAGACCCCUGUAGUCCCUGUCUCUUAUAA